CGUCCUACGGGGGGCAGCAGUGAGGAAUAUUGGUCAAUGGGCGCGAGCCUGAACCAGCCAAGUCGCGUGAGGGAAGACGGUCCUAUGGAUUGUAAACCUCUUUUGUCGGGGAGCAAAAGACGCCACGCGUGGCGUUCCGAGAGUACCCGAAGAAAAAGCAUCGGCUAACUCCGUGCCAGCAGCCGCGGGAAUACGGAGGAUGCGAGCGUUCUCCGGCUUUAUUGGGCGUAAAGGGAACGCAGGCGGUCUUUUAAGUCUGAUGUGCAAGCCUUCGGCUUAACCGGAGUAGGGCAUUGGAAACUGGG
Molecule: ribosomal RNA, 305 nt
Filed under: uncultured bacterium
Lineage: Bacteria
Description: bacterial SSU rRNA
Rfam family: Bacterial small subunit ribosomal RNA
Source: RNAcentral